UACGGAGGGGGCUAGCGUUGUUCGGAAUCACUGGGCGUAAAGGGUGCGUAGGCGGGGCUUUAAGUCAGGGGUGAAAUCCUGGAGCUCAACUCCAGAACUGCCUUUGAUACUGAAGAUCUUGAGUUCGGGAGAGGUGAGUGGAACUGCGAGUGUAGAGGUGAAAUUCGUAGAUAUUCGCAAGAACACCAGUGGCGAAGGCGGCUCACUGGCCCGAUACUGACGCUGAGGCACGAAAGCGUGGGGAGCAAACAGG
Molecule: ribosomal RNA, 253 nt
Filed under: uncultured bacterium
Lineage: Bacteria
Description: partial 16S ribosomal RNA
Rfam family: Bacterial small subunit ribosomal RNA
Source: RNAcentral